GAUGAACGCUGGCGGCGUGCCUAACACAUGCAAGUCGAGCGGACAGACGUGUAGCUUGUUCCUCUCACGUUAGCGGCGCACGGGUGAGUAACACGUGGAGAACCUACCUAUCAGACUGGGAUAACUUCUGGACACCGGGCCUAAUACCAGAUAAUAUAAUGAACCGCAGGGUUCACUAGUGACAGACUGUCUUGCUGUUACGUAUAUAUGGUUCCGCGCCGCUUUAGCGAGUUGGUAAGGUAACGGCUUACCAAGGCAACGAUGCGUAGCCGACCUGAGAGAGUGAUCGGACACGCUGGGAGUGAGACACGGUCCAGACUGCUACGGGAGGCAGGAGUAGGGUACCUUGCGCAAUGGCAGUAAGCCUGACGGAGCAACGCCGCGUGGGUGAUGGAGGUCAUCGGGUCGUAAAGCACUGUUAUUAGGGAAGAACAACUGUGUAACUAAGAGUGGACGUAUUGACGGUACCUAGUCAAAAAGCAACGGCUAACUACGUG
This 497-nucleotide ribosomal RNA is filed under the name uncultured bacterium. Its description in RNAcentral is "partial 16S ribosomal RNA". It matches the Rfam family "Bacterial small subunit ribosomal RNA", at positions 28 to 507 of the family's 1533-position model. The record is from RNAcentral.